GAUGAACGCUGGCGGCGUGCCUAAUACAUGCAAGUCGAGCGAACAGACGAGGAGCUUGCUCCUUCGACGUUAGCGGCGGACGGGUGAGUAACACGUAGGUAACCUACCUAUAAGACUGGGAUAACUUCGGGAAACCGGAGCUAAUACCGGAUAAUAUUUCGAACCGCAUGGUUCGAUAGUGAAAGAUGGCUUUGCUAUCACUUAUAGAUGGACCUGCGCCGUAUUAGCUAGUUGGUAAGGUAACGGCUUACCAAGGCAACGAUACGUAGCCGACCUGAGAGGGUGGUCGGCCACACUGGAACUUAGACACGGUCCAGACUCCUACGGGAGGCAGCAGUAGGGAAUCUUCCGCAAUGGGCGAAAGCCUGACGGAGCAACGCCGCGUGAGUGAUGAAGGUCUUCGGAUCGUAAAACUCUGUUAUUAGGGAAGAACAAACGUGUAAGUAACUGUGCACGUCUUGACGGUACCUAAUCAGAAAGCCACGGCUAACUACGUG
Molecule: ribosomal RNA, 497 nt
Filed under: uncultured bacterium
Lineage: Bacteria
Description: partial 16S ribosomal RNA
Rfam family: Bacterial small subunit ribosomal RNA
Source: RNAcentral